ACCAGACUCCUACGGGAGGCAGCAGUGGGGGAUAUUGCACAAUGGGGGGAACCCUGAUGCAGCGACGCCGCGUGGGUGAAGAAGCGCCUCGGCGCGUAAAGCCCUGUCAGCAGGGAAGAAAAUGACGGUACCUGAAGAAGAAGCCCCGGCUAACUACGUGCCAGCAGCCACGGUAAUACGUAGGGGGCAAGCGUUAUCCGGAUUUACUGGGUGUAAAGGGGGCGCAGACGGCGAUGCAAGCCAGGAGUGAAAGCCCGGGGCCCAACCCCGGGACUGCUCUUGGAACUGCGUGGCUGGAGUGCAGGAGGGGCAGGCGGAAUUCCUGGUGUAGCGGUGAAAUGCGUAGAUAUCAGGAGGAACACCGGUGGCGAAGGCGGCCUGCUGGACUGCAACUGACGUUGAGGCCCGAAAGCGUGGGGAGCAAACAGGAUUAGAUACCCCCGUA
This 445-nucleotide ribosomal RNA is filed under the name uncultured bacterium. RNAcentral's name for it is "partial 16S ribosomal RNA". It matches the Rfam family "Bacterial small subunit ribosomal RNA", at positions 330 to 792 of the family's 1533-position model. The record is from RNAcentral.